UUACAAUGGUAAGGACAAAGGGCAGCUACCUGGCGACAGGAUGCGAAUCUCUAAACCUUAUCACAGUUCGGAUCGGAGUCUGCAACUCGACUCCGUGAAGCUGGAUUCGCUAGUAAUCGCGCAUCAGCCAUGGCGCGGUGAAUACGUUCCCGGGCCUUGUACACACCGCCCGUCAAGCCAUGGGAGUCUGGAGUACCUAAAGUCCGUAACCGCAAGGGUCGGCCUAGGGUAAUACAGGUGACUGGGGCUAAGUCGUAACAAGGUAGCCGUACCGGAAGGUGCGGCUGGAACACCUCCUUUCUGGA
RNAcentral lists this ribosomal RNA (305 nucleotides) under Porphyromonadaceae bacterium. RNAcentral's name for it is "partial 16S ribosomal RNA". It matches the Rfam family "Bacterial small subunit ribosomal RNA", at positions 1225 to 1533 of the family's 1533-position model. The record is from RNAcentral. Lineage: Bacteria; Pseudomonadati; Bacteroidota; Bacteroidia; Bacteroidales; Porphyromonadaceae.